Molecule: transfer RNA, 72 nt
Filed under: Danionella translucida
Lineage: Eukaryota; Metazoa; Chordata; Actinopteri; Cypriniformes; Danionidae
Also listed under: 1 other name
Rfam family: tRNA
About the family: Transfer RNA (tRNA) molecules are approximately 80 nucleotides in length.
Source: Rfam by way of RNAcentral
AGUUCUAUGGUGUAAUGGUUAGCACGCUGGACUCUGAAUCCAGCAAUCUGAGUUCAAAUCUCAGUAGGACAU